UCUGGUGUAUAGCGUUGCUCAAGUCCUCUAUUUCUUUGAACAACAGUAUACACCAAAUA
This is a microRNA precursor of Homo sapiens (human), 59 nucleotides long. NCBI's taxonomy places the organism in Eukaryota, Metazoa, Chordata, Mammalia, Primates, Hominidae. The record is from Ensembl.